Salmo salar (Atlantic salmon) is the source of this 7945-nucleotide non-coding RNA. Lineage: Eukaryota; Metazoa; Chordata; Actinopteri; Salmoniformes; Salmonidae. The record is from RefSeq and is a predicted model, not a curated record.
UCUCUCUUCCAACUGUUUAAACUGCUAGUGUCUCAUCUCUCUCCAAACAACUGACUGCUCUCAUCUCCCAUGGCUCUGUAAUAUUUAUGUGUGUGUGUCUGUGUGGGGGUGUGUUUUUAUCUCCCUGUCUGUGUGUGUUUGAGAAAGUGAUUCAGUCUCUCUUUCUGUGCGAUGGCACUACUGCCUAAGGAGGCAGAACGAUUCGAUGGGCUAUCUCUGCUAUACUGGACCGUCAUGGGACCUCACGGCAUCAACCGGGCCAUCGAGAGACUGGAGUUCUGCGACUGCAAGAAAGGACUGGGGGUGAAGAUCAUCGGUGGCUACAGAGAGCAGACACGUGAGGAGUUUGGGAUCUUCAUUAAGCGGGUGUUACCGGGAGGGCUGGCUGCUCAGGAUGGGAGGCUUAGAACGGGCGACCUCAUUUUGGAAGUCAAUAAUAUGAGUUUAGGAGGAGUAACCAAUGAGAGGGCGGUGGAUAUCCUCCGGUCAGCGUCAGCCUCCAAUCACAUGUCUCUGAUGGUUGCCAGAGACGAUGAAAGCAGGCGGGAGUUCAUUGAGUUGAUGAAUAAGUAUGGCUCCCACAGCAGUUUUAAAGGAAGCUCAGGGAGGGUCUCCCCUACACAGCUCUCUACAGGAGGCAAGACAGACACGGCCUCCUCCUCUUCCUCCUCCAGAUCUACCAGUCCCACCAGCCAGCUCUUCAGUCCUAAAGAGGGGGUCACAGGACCUCCCUAUACCACUGGGCCCCCCUAUACGUCUAACCCGAACACAGCCCCUACACAGCCCGUCUUCAAUGACAGCAUCAUUCAGUUGAUAUGCAUCUCAAAGGGAACAGGCCUGGGACUCAUCAUCAAGGGAGGAGCUAACCGAGCCGAGGGACCAAUGGUGUUGAUUCAGGAAAUAGUGCCUGGAGGAGACUGCCAGAGGGACGGUAGACUACAGCCAGGAGACCAGCUGGUGUCGAUUAAUAAGGAGUCGUUAAUCGGAGUGACCUAUGAGGAGGCUAGAAGUAUCCUGACACGCACCAAACUCAGACCAGACCCUACGGUGGAGAUAGCGUUUAUGAGACACAGGUCUUCCACCAGUUCUGCUUCCUCCAGCAGUGGCCCCCAGAGUCCUUUCAUCCCACAGGGCGCAGACAGUGGAGCCUCCUCAGUGCCCCCCACCAGGAGAGGGACCCUGGCUGUGCUGGGGGCCCUGCCUCCCCCUCGGUCACUGCUCCAGCACAGGAGAACCACGCUCCCUGCAGCCCUCCCUGGAGCUCCCCUGGUGGUGCCCAAGAUCACCUCCACCCUCAACCCCGCCAGUGAGACCCUGCCUUCUGUCAACCUCAGCCAGGUGCGAAUGAGGACAGAACAGACGUGCGUCUCCUCCCCUCCUCAGAGUCCCAGCACCACAGACGCCAAGCCUGAAUCCUCCCCUGUAUGGCAGCCAGUCAGCAGUCACGUACCACAAAGGAAGUGCUCCCUCAGCUCCAUCUGUCGCCUCAAACUGGAGAGGCUGGAGCAGGCUCUGGAUGCAUUGGGACUGAAUCCUACAGAGGCACAGAGACAGACGUUGAGGGCCAGACUACAAACAGACCCUGCUGGGACAGUGGCCUAUGCAGACUUUGAGACGCUGACGCGGGAGCUGUUCAAGCUACAGUUUGAGGAGUCAGAGGUGGGAGGUCAGAGGUUAAAGUUUGUGUCAGAAGACCUCUCCAGCCUCCUAGAGUCACCCACCAACACACGGACUUCACUGUCUGACUCUGAUGACCUAGAGGAGAUGGAGAGACUGAGGAAAGACCACAUCGAGGCUCUGAGAGAGAUCAAGAAACUACAGGAGCAGUUGGCAGAGUCCGAGAGACUUCAACUGCAGAUGCAGGGAGAGCUGAACAAGGUCAAACAGGAGGUCAAGUCUGGGGUUGAGGAGAGCCGUGCGCUGCGGAGCCGGAUCCAGCUGUCUGAGGCAGCCCAGAAGCAGGCCAGAGGGAUGGAGAUGGAUUAUGAGGAGGUGAUCCAUCUCCUGGAGGCUGAGAUAGCUGAGCUCCAGACCCAGAGGACAGAGCAGCCCGGCCAGUCCAGCCAGGUGCAGGAUGAGACAGAGGAGCUGAAGAAGAGAGUGGCCGUUCUGGAGUGUCAACUAAGGAAGAACGAGGAGGCCAAAAAGGGCUUUGAGGUGUCCAUGGGUAAACUGCUCAACUUCGUGGAGAACGUCCAAGACUUCCUCAUUGAAAAUCAAGGACCUGUGAAGAGCUACGGCUCCGGUGACGUGAAGGCUGGAGCCUCCUCUCAGCCCCUGGGAGCCCGGGUGGGGAAGAAGUCCCAGUGGACGGCUGCCACACUUACAGCGGAGGCUAAAGAACUCACACGGACUGUUAGCGCCAUUCUGGAGGUGGAGUGUAAGUGAUCUAUCAUCUCGACUCGCUGCAUGCCUGCAUGUCGUCUCUAUCCCUGGUCCAGCAUGCAAAUCCAAUCAGCUCAACAGACAACGAAUCACCUCCAUAGUUCUGAAACCAACCGGAUAACAGACACCAAACCAACCAAAUUAUAUCCAUAGUUACUAAGUUAACCAAAAUCAACCAGCUCAACAGACCUCAAAAAAUCGAGUUACUAAGCCAACCAAAACCAACCGGAUAACAGACACCAAGCCAUCUUUGUAGUUACUAUACACAUCUCAAUCGCCAUCUUUUAGUACAGCGGCCUGUAAGAAAAUGAUGGACAUUCUUGCACUUAAGUUUCAGACAACAGAAUGAGACCGUAAAACAGCUAAGCAACUUCGAGAUGUUCAGUCUCUGUGUCCAGUGGAGUUGAACGGACCAGAGACUAAUUGUUCUGUCCAUAGUUACUAAUAAGUUUUCUCUGUAGUCAGCGUCUAGUGGACUGACAGAAUGAUCUUUCAUUCAACAUGAAAUAUAGUGUUGGAGAUGUUCGCAAGGUUCGACUUUCUAUAGAUUUGUGUUUUGAAUCAAAUAAUUGUUUUCAGAAUUGUACCAGUGUAUCUAGAAAUGUACAGUAAGACCUUAGUCAAUACAAAAACAUCAUCAUACAUAUACCUGAUCAAGUCAGUCGCUAACCACACAGUAGCCCUGAAUGUAGUGGGAUGGGAUGCAGCCAAGUACAUCAAAAGGGGAAAAGCUUUCCACACCGGGACAUAAAAACUCCACGGGGAAGGAAGAAAGAAGUGAAGAAGAUGAUUGAGAUGAAGAGGGGUUAGAUACUGAUGUCGUCAUUACUAACAAGAUUCUUCAGGAAUUACAAUAUAUAGCACCUGGACCAGGAGCCAUAUGGGAGCAAACUGUUUCCGAUUGUUCAAUUCAGUUCUAAUCCAGCGUUGGUGUCAGGUUGUGAGCAGGGUGAGAAGUAGAGCCAUAUAUUAAGAGACUACGGCCAGGUUUCAGAACGGACGCCAUGUUAGCACCUUUAUUCUUGAAAUGUUGGCGACGUAACAAUACGAGAGCGCCUCCGAUAGUUCCCUCUGAAAUGACCCGACUUAAACAAGUAAAACAGAGCAGCGAAUUUAAGACAUUUUUACUGAUUACCAUUCGGAACAAUGUGUAUCCAUGUCGGUAUUGUGGUGUCAACAAAUUGCAUAUCUGCUUUCACUGGACAUCUUCAUAGUUUUCAAAACCUUUCAGAAAGAAACAGCACAAUGCGUAACCAUAAAUUAUCACUUAACAACGGCUAUGGAGGAGAAAGUGGCGCUUUCGGAAUGUUCAGACAGAAACCACAUUGGCCCAACUCUCUGUAUUGAUGCCUCUGGUGAGAAGUAAUGACCUCCAAGGUCACUGUCUCCUGUCUCUAGUUUAACCUUGUCUGAUCCAAUGAGACUUUCUCCUGACCCCUGACCCCUCUUGACCUUUCCCAGUCAGAGGUGAAGCAGCCAAUCAACCUGGUGAUCUAACUCUCACCCAUAGAGAUAGAUAGAGGACUCUAGUGCCCAAAAUUCUGUUUUAGCAUGGGCAGCGCCAUUGAGGACAUAACCAUUUUGAAGUAGUCAACUAGGUGGGACUUCCUAUGGAUUUAGGAAGGAUCACAUAAUUCCAUCCAGUUCAUCAGGAGGGAUCAGCCAAUGAAUUAUACCCGUGAGAAAACAAUUUACUGCAGGUGGCAGUAAACUGUCAAUCUUGGCUUUAUACCUGUUCAAACAACAAACUCCAGGUAGCAGUAUGCACCCUUUCAGUUUGUUUACGAACUCAUAGAAGUAGUAGUAGAAGAAAAAUGGAGAUGGCCUCAAUGGUGCUGCCCAUGCUCUCAUAGACGCCAUAAUGAGACAGAUACAAUGUUUCGUCCUCUAACCAUCUCUACGCUCUCACCUGAGGCGGACGUGUCAUUGUGACUCUGGGGUGUGUCAACUCAACCCUAUGGGCCCUGGUCAAAAGUAGUGCACUAAAUAGGGAAUAGGGUGCCAUUUUGGGAUGUAGCCUUUCUCUCUAUCUGUUUUCAUUUCCGGUAAUCAUAGAUGAAUGUCAGAUACAAAAAAUAAAAAUGUACUGUCCUUGAUAAUAUGAGUCAGUGUUGGAGAACUAGAAACUGUAUGGUAGGAUUAGAGAACUAGAAAAUGUAUGGUAGGAUUAGAGAACUAGAAAAGGUAUGGUAGGAUUAAAGAACUAGAAAAGGUAUGGUAGGAUUAGAGAACUAGAAAAGGUAUGGUAGGAUUAGAGAACUAGAAAAGGUAUGGUAGGAUUAGAGGAGAACUAGAAAAGGUAUGGUAGGAUUAGAGAACUAGAAAAUGUAUGGUAGGAUUAGAGAACUAGAAAAGGUAUGGUAGGAUUAAAGAACUAGAAAAGGUAUGGUAGGAUUAAAGAACUAGAAAAGGUAUGGUAGGAUUAGAGAACUAGAAAAGGUAUGGUAGGAUUAGAGAACUAGAAAAGGUAUGGUAGCAUUAGAGAACUAGAAAAGGUAUGGUAGGAUUAGAGGAGAACUUGAAAAGGUAUGGUAGGAUUAGAGGAGAACUAGAAAAGGUAUGGUAGGAUUAGAGGAGAACUUGAAAAGGUAUGGUAGGAUUAGAGAACUAGAAAAGGUAUGGUAGGAUUAGAGAACUAGAAAAGGUAUGGUAGCAUUAGAGAACUAGAAAAGGUAUGGUAGGAUUAGAGGAGAACUUGAAAAGGUAUGGUAGGAUUAGAGGAGAACUAGAAAAGGUAUGGUAGGAUUAGAGGAGAACUUGAAAAGGUAUGGUAGGAUUAGAGGAGAACUAGAAAAGGUAUGGUAGGAUUAGAGAACUAGAAAAGGUAUGGUAGGAUUAGAGGAGAACUAGAAAAGGUAUGGCAGGAUUAGAGCAGAACUAGACAAGUUAUGGUACUGUAGGAUGACAGGAGAACUAGAAAAGGUAUGGUAGGAUGACAGGAGAACUAGAAAAGGUAUGGUACUGUAGGAUGACAGGAGAACUAGAAAAGGUAUGGUAGGAUGACAGGAGAACUAGAAAAGGUAUGGUACUGUAAGAUUAGAGGAGAACUAGAAAAGGUAUGGUACUGUAAGAUUAGAGGAGAACUAGACAAGGUAUGGUACUGUAGGAUGACAGGAGAACUAGAAAAGGUAUGGUAGGAUGACAGGAGAACUAGAAAAGGUAUGGUACUGUAGGAUGACAGAAGAACUAGAAAUGUUUUGGUACUGUAGGAUGACAGGAGAACUAGAAAUGUUUUGGUACUGUAGGAUUAAAGGCUGCCAGACUGUUACUUUACACUUCUGCCAUUCAACAAAAAAAAGGAUCUGCCAUCUGAGGCUGAUAAUAAUAUCACGUGAUUCUGUGAAACAAAAGAAGGUCCUAUGAAUGUUCUGUGAGAGGAAGGAAGGAAGUCCUUUCUGGUUUUUGAUGACUUCUAAGAGGACAUUGGAUCAGUUGGAAAAUCUAUUGUGUUCAUUGGUGUGUUAUGUAAGCUUGUGUGUUAAGGAGGGGUAGAUAAGUAGGUCAAUCCAAUAUCAGGCGACCCAAAGUGUUAGUUAGAAAAAUGUAUUAAAGUGUCACUCCACAAUGAUAGUAUAGUUGACAAUACAAAAUACCAAUUGUAAUAACCACACUGUGGACCACUCAGUUUAAGACACUAAAAGCGGUCAUAGUCAAACAUGGUACAGUAGUUUAAUUUGCUCAUCUAUAAUACAUAAUACUAUCUAUACAUUAUUAUACAUUAGGUCAUCUGUACACAUGUAUACAUAAACAAAAACCAAAGUACGGUAGAUAACAGGACAUUUAGACACAUAUAAAGAAACGUCUCCAUGUAUUAUUUCUAUCCGUUCAGUUGAUGAAAAGGAUGAGGCCUGAUGUGGUUGUAUACCCCGCAAUACAGCAAGGCUCAAGAUUUUCAAUGGAUCUAGCAUUACAAAAUCAACAGAUGUUUAUCUAAGGGAGUGUGUGUGUGUGUGUGUGUGUGUGUGUGUGUGUGUGUGUGUGUGUGUGUGUGUGUGUGUGUGUGUGUGUGUGUGUGUGUGUGUGUGUUUGUACUUUAGACAUUCUCCUCUCCCCAGAUCCCAUCUUAGUCAUUUCCACUGGGCUCAGUGUUGCUUGGUUGUGUACUGAAUAUCCACUCUUUCUGAGUGGAUAUUCACAAACACACACACACAUUUUGGGUCUCUAAUAUUGGAUUGACCUACUUACCUACCCCUUCUCAACACACACACACACACACACACACACACACACACACACACACACACACACACACACACACACACACACACACUCAACCUAAUGACAAUUUUUAGGUUGCGCAAAGGUUGUAAUUGAAAGGAAUUGACUUGGAAUUUAAAGAGUCCUCCUUCUGUCUAUUCAGUUCUAGGACCCUUUCUUAGACUUGCCUCAUACUUACAUCAAACUUACAUAAUAUAAUAAUAAUAUAUACCAUUUAGCAGACAGCUUUAUCCAAAGCGACUUAGUCAUGUUUGUAUACAUUUUGUACGUAUGGGUGGCCUCAGGAAUCGAACCCACAAUCCUGGCGUUGCAAGCGCUUCACUCUAUACCGCUCAAACUCAACUCUGGACCCCCAAGCCAGUUCCACUGUGUUUUUUCAUUGUUUCUUUCUAAUCAGGGACUGGUUUAGACCUGGGACAGCAGGUGGGUGCAAUUAAUUAUCAGGUAGAUCAGAAAACCAGGAGGCUCCGGACCUCGUAGGGUCAGAGUUGAAUACCCCUGCUCUAUACCCACUAAAGCAUACAGGACCACCACAUCACACACUUUAUACAAAAGUCCUUGUUUAUGUACAGUAUUAUGCUGUAUAUCGUAUCCUCAGCAAUAAAUGUUUUCUACAGAACACUUUCUGUGUGCUAUAAAGCGGUGGUUGGGGUUUAGGGUAAUAGCACCCACAGUUAGCCUGAGGUGUCAUAAAACUUAUGUAAACUGUUACAAAUGUCUGUAUAUUUACAGCAAAAUGUUUAGUUAGCUACUGGAAUUCUAUAUAACAGUACACAACUGUAAAGUGCAAUACAUUAUGGGGGCUCAAUGGAAUUCCACUAUUAGCUACAUAGGUUGGCAAGUAGUCUAGUGCUUAAGAGCGAUGGGACAGUAACCGAAAGGUCGCUGGUUUGAAUCCCUGAGCGAAUUAGGUGAAAAAACUGUCUGCCUGUAAGUGGCUCUGGAUAAGAGCGUCUGCUAAAUGACUAACAUGUAAAUGUUGCUAUUCCAAAUACAGUGUGCAGGUAGACAUAUCUAACCCCGUCUUUGUUACUAAUCAGUAGGGUUGCAAAAUUCCUGGAACUUUCAAAAUAUUCCCUAGUUUUCCCAAAAUCCUGGUUGGAGGAUUCCCAGAAUCUGGAGGGAAAAGCAGGAAAUCCAGAAUACUCCAACCAGGCAUUCUGGAAAACCAGGGAAGUUCCUGGAAUUUUACAAUCCUACUAAUCAAACACUUAGUCAAUCAUAUUGAUUUAGCAUUGUUACAUGUUAAAUUUAGUUACAUUUUAUAUUUAUAAUACUGUUAUUCAACCAUUUCCUUUGCUUUAAAAACUGUCAAAAUAAAAUAAAAAUCUGAUCCUGUUAA